CACAUGUCCAUCCCUCAGCCAAUCACAGUGGCUGGUGGAAUAAAUGCCCUGAUUGGCUUAGGCUUGGGGAAGUCACACGGUCUUGCCUGAGGAGUUCUGGAGCCUUUUCCAAAAGACAAGUCUAAGAGCAGGAAGGGCCCCCUCAGCAGAGAUGCACUGGCGUGGGCUCACCAGGGAGAGGGAAGAGACAACGCUUGGCACAGCCCACAGCACGGCUGCUCAUAAACACUCACAGCCCCUCCGUGUCAGAGGACCUUCCCCACCACUGACAUCAGGCUGGGCCAUGCGACUGCCUUUGUCCAUAAAACUGGAGAGGAAGUGAGGGGCGUGGCUUCUGGGCAGCAGCUUUAGUGCUUCAUGAGUUAUUCGUCACGUUCUCUCUCCCUCCCUCUGAGCAGCAGGAAGUGCAGAUGGCGAGGACGAGACGCCCAGCCAAGGGACAAUGGACGAAGAGCGUGAGCGGGGGCGAGCCUUUCCCUUCGUGAGGGACGGCCGGUGUCAUCGUUGGAGCUUCCUAAGAGUCCCAGAGGCUGAUGCACCUCCCAGACUCUCCUCGGCCCGGCUCCCUGGGCCCUGCUCCAGGGGCUUCAUUGCUCCCUGCCCCGGGUCACCCCUCGGCUCACCGUCUCUCAGGUGUGGAAUAUCCUGCUCCAAUCAAAGCCAUGUCACCUGCGUUGUCCAGUGAAACAUCAGUGGACAGGCGCUGCCCGGGCUCCAGGGAGCUCCUCACUGAGGCUCACUCCCUGUGCCUCUGCCAUCAGCACAGGGGGACAUGCCUGGCUGCCUGUGGGACCAGGGAGGACGCGCGGUGCGGGAGCAGAGCCAGCCACACUGCCGCUGCUGCACUGUUCAUCUGAGUGGCGCAAGAUUCAGUGCCUGCGUCAUAGAAGGGUCCGUGUCAGUAAGGAAGUGAAAAGCAAGAUGGAAUACUGGAACUCUCCUGGCAGAUUGUCUGAAGUCAAUGUGUUUUCUGGUUAUGUGUUUCAGCUGCGAGUUUUUCAAAUUGUUGCAAAUCUUCAAACAUUUUUCCAACAAAUUUACUGAAAAAAAUCCACAUAUAAGUGGCACCCCCACCAGUUUAAACCUGUGUUGUUCAAGAGUCAGCUAUUUUUAUGAGGUGUUUUCAAAAGUUUAUGGAAAAUGAAUCUUAUGAAUAAAACUAUGCAUGGAUUUCAAAUCUUUUGCACCAAAAUAAACUCAUACUAACUUGUUAUAAAAUGUCUGAGUUUUAUACAGUUUAGUUUGAGACACUAAGAAAGAUAAGACAUCAGUUUGGAAAGGGUCAUCAGAGCAACGUGAAUUAUGCAAAACUGAAGCAAAAACAAACACCAAAUUUAUGGUGAAGGUUAGGUAGAGGAAUGGUGAAGUCAUUGAUGCUUUCUAAACAGUUUAGGUGGAUAAUGCCCCACAGAAAGCAGCCAUUUACAAAUGGUUACGCCAUUUUAAGAAGGAACAGGAUGAUGUUGAACAUGAAGCCUGCAGCAGCAGACCACAUCAAUUUGAGAGGAAAAAAUUAAUCUUGCUUAUGCCCUAGUUGAAGAGGACUGGUGCUUAGCAGCACAAACAAUAGCCAACACCAUAGACACCUCAAUUGGUUCAGCUUUCCCAAUCCUGGCCAAAAAAUUAAAGUUGAGCAAAUUUUCUACGUAAUGAGUGCCCAAACUUGCACCCAGAUCAGUUGCCAACCAGGGCAGAGCUUUCAAUGGAAAUUUUAAGCAAGAGGGGGAUGAAGAUCUUGAAGCAUUGCUUUGAAGAAUUGUAACAGGAGAUGAAACAUGGCUUUGCUAGUACCAUUCUGGAGACACAAUCAAAGCAAUGGCUACCAAGAGGUGGAAGUGCUGCAGUCACAGCAAACGUGGCCACCCAAGAGCAAAGGUCAUGGCAACAAUUUUGGGGAAUGUUCAAGGCAUUUUGUCUGUUGACUUUCUGGAGGGCCAAAGAACAAUAACAGCUGCUUAUUAUGAGAGUGUUUUGAGAAAGUUAGCCAAAGCUUUAGCAGAAAGUUGCCUAGGA
This 2013-nucleotide long non-coding RNA is filed under the name Homo sapiens (human). RNAcentral describes it as "HSALNT0197621". Lineage: Eukaryota; Metazoa; Chordata; Mammalia; Primates; Hominidae. The record is from RNAcentral.